This 519-nucleotide ribosomal RNA is filed under the name Afrocloetus gibbosus. RNAcentral describes it as "partial 28S ribosomal RNA". It matches the Rfam family "Eukaryotic large subunit ribosomal RNA", at positions 284 to 620 of the family's 3401-position model. Lineage: Eukaryota; Metazoa; Arthropoda; Insecta; Coleoptera; Hybosoridae. The record is from RNAcentral.
AGCCCAAAGUGGGUGGUAAACUCCAUCUAAGGCUAAAUACGACCACGAGACCGAUAGCGAACAAGUACCGUGAGGGAAAGUUGAAAAGUACUUUGAAGAGAGAGUUCAAGAGUACGUGAAACCGUUCAGGGGUAAGCCUGAGAAGCCCGAAAGGUCGAAAGGGGAGAUUCAACGUCGGAAUCGGACUGUCGGCGUGCGUUAGGUAUGCGACGAAUAUAUCGCGCUACCUUUUGCCGUCCGUCACCGACCGCGUGCACUUCUCCCCCUGUAGGACGUCGCGACUCGUUGGGUAUAUUUAUAUAAAAGUCCGUCUAAGGCCCGCUGCGGAGCCCGGAAACGACGCUUCGGCGACGAUUUUCCGGACGCGUGGAUCGCCCGACGGACGCCCGACGGUCAAAUGUGGCGUGAGGCCGCGUAUAACGCGUCCGGAACUAGUCUCUUAACCGAUGAUUAGUUUCUCGGACAGGUCAUCAGACCGCUAACGCCCGUCUGCGACGCUAUAGCUUUGGGUAGGCUCAG